This 265-nucleotide ribosomal RNA is filed under the name uncultured archaeon. Its description in RNAcentral is "partial 16S ribosomal RNA". It matches the Rfam family "Archaeal small subunit ribosomal RNA", at positions 748 to 1009 of the family's 1478-position model. The record is from RNAcentral.
CAGCCGUAAACUAUGCGCGUUAGGUGUACUGGUGACCACGGUGCGACCGUUGUCGGUGCCGUAGGGAAGCCGUGAAGCGAGCCACCUGGGAAGUACGGCCGCAAGGCUGAAACUUAAAGGAAUUGGCGGGGAGCACCACAACGGGUGGAGCCUGCGGUUUAAUUGGACUCAACGCCGGGAAGCUCACCGGAUAAGACAGCGGAAUGAUUGCCGGGCUGAAGACCCUGCAUGACCAGCUGAGAGGAGGUGCAUGGCGUAGUCGUGU